UGUAAACAACAUGUGUUAUCAACUCCAUUAAAAAAAAAAAAUGGAAGUGUCAAUUACUUCAAAAGUAAACAGAAAUGUCCAUUUAUUUUAAGAAAUAGAAAGGACCUCAGUUCAAUAUCAUGUGUGGGUGGAAAACAAAAAAAAUGGAUGUGUAACAUUAUAAUCUACCAUGAGUUUAACCAAUGUAUUAAAAUUUAGGUUAAGUGAAUCAAGUCUUUCUCGAUGCAUCUCACUAUUAUAUUAAAUAAAAUGUGAUGUAAUAUAUUGAUUCAAUGGUGAAAAUAAACUUAUACGUGAUAAAUGACUUGUCACACUUGCCCAUAUUAGACAACCUAAAAUUUAUGUCUGCAGUUUGAUUUGGUUUUAAAAAAAUUAUCUGAAAUUUGAUUUGAUCUAAGUGAUUUUCAUAAAAGGGUGUCCAGCAGUAAUAUUCGGCAUUCACCUAUGAUUUUCAAUUUUUUGAACCAGUUUACAAGUUUAUUUUGGAUUAAUUUGGUUUACGGUAUCCUGUGGAAUGGAAACAUUAUGAGAUAGAUUCUUGGACAAUUUCAGAAAGUAAUCUCAUUUCAUAGCUUUUGAUAUUUAAAAUUAAUGCACACGUAUUAAGAGUAAGACAAUAAUUUUCAUAAAAAAAAUGAGGUGGCAGCAUCUUCUCAAUUCUCAUAUUUAUGUGCUGUAUGAGAACUUGACCCAUUGGCGGUGAUGGGGAUUGAUGAUGCUUUCAAAAACGAGCUUUUGGAGUAAUAAAAAUGAAAAUAGGUAUAAUAUUGAGUGAUGAAAAUUUUAUUUAAACCUCCUUCAAUAAAAAAAAUAUUUAAACCGUUGAAAUUGAAUAAACUUUUCCCAUAAAGGGCAGACUCACCUCAACAAUCAUCCUCAACCCUGUAUAAUAAUAUGCUAUGACAAAAGUGUU
This 913-nucleotide long non-coding RNA is filed under the name Trifolium pratense (red clover). RNAcentral's name for it is "long non-coding RNA (TPRA_LNC008310)". The record is from RNAcentral. Lineage: Eukaryota; Viridiplantae; Streptophyta; Magnoliopsida; Fabales; Fabaceae.